AUUGAACGCUGGCGGCAGGCCUAACACAUGCAAGUCGAACGGUAACAGGAAGCAGCUUGCUGCUUCGCUGACGAGUGGCGGACGGGUGAGUAAUGUCUGGGAAACUGCCUGAUGGAGGGGGAUAACUACUGGAAACGGUAGCUAAUACCGCAUAACGUCGCAAGACCAAAGAGGGGGACCUUAGGGCCUCUUGCCAUCGGAUGUGCCCAGCUGGGAUUAGCUAGUAGGUGGGGUAACGGCUCACCUAGGCGACGAUCCCUAGCUGGUCUGAGAGGAUGACCAGCCACACUGGAACUGAGACACGGUCCAGACUCCUACGGGAGGCAGCAGUGGGGAAUAUUGCACAAUGGGCGCAAGCCUGAUGCAGCCGUGCCGCGUGUAUGAAGAAGGCCUUCGGGUUGUAAAGUACUUUCAGCGGGGAGGAAGGGAGUAAAGUUAAUACCUUUGCUCAUUGACGUUACCCGCAGAAGAAGCACCGGCUAACUCCGUG
Molecule: ribosomal RNA, 490 nt
Filed under: uncultured bacterium
Lineage: Bacteria
Description: partial 16S ribosomal RNA
Rfam family: Bacterial small subunit ribosomal RNA
Source: RNAcentral